AUGUCUGGUGUUCGAAAUUUUAGACAGCUCUUUAAGUUUUAAGUUUUAGGUUUAAAGUUUGUUGUCCGGUUUUUUACCUUGCGAAAUUAAAAACCCUGUCCGUUGAUCGAUAUACCUGAUAAGGUUUUGGCUCCUUUUAAGCUGAAAAAGCCCUAUUUCGCUGCUCUACCGGACAUGGGUGCCCUUUCCUUCUUCUCUCGCACUUUCUCUUUGCCAAGCAGAAGCUGAAGCCCAAUCCAACACUAUUUUUCCUUAAUCUCUAGUCAAGUCAAAGCAUAAUCUUCUCAAACCUCAAUCAAUCAGAGCCUAUGACACAUGAAAAUGACUUGUUGUACAUGAACGAUGAUCAUGUUUUGAGAUAAGCCGUUGUUGUCAUGGCGAGGAAUAAAAUUUAUAUAUAUGAGGCUUUUAGCAUCCUUCAAUAUUGGCCCCUUACAAAUGAGCAGGUGGAUUUGGUUAGAAGGAUGAGGCUAUGGCCUCUUGUUCAGUAUGCUGACAUGGAGGGGGCACCGCGAUAGAUUGGCCACGCUCUUUUGGAGGCAGUGACAGAGAGAUGGGGCCCAGAGAUGAAUUCAUGGCAUUGUCUGCGAAGUGUUGGUGAGAUGAUGCCAACUUUAUAUGAUGUGUGGCGUACUUUCCGGCUUAGAGUCACCGGUGAGCCGGUAUUGACAGUGAGAUGCAAACCAUAUGGGCCAUAUUUGUUACAAUGGUUGGGACGCAUCCGCCAAAUGAUUUUAAAAUUCAUCAUUCAUUGAACUUCACUUGGUUGAGAGAUACGUUUUGGGAAUCUACCAGAAAAUCCUACACAAGAACAAAUAGAAUGACACACUAUGACAUUUUUGCUAUAUUUAGUAAGCAGCACCAUUUUUUCGCAGUCGAAAGGUAAUGAAGUCCCUAUUAGGUACUUCUUCGAGGAUUUUGACGUUGUGGGUGGGUACGCAUGGGGGGCCACGACCCUAGCAUAACUUUUUAGGGCCCUCAAGAAGUUCGUAACUCUUGAAAAAAAGAGGGGCAGGCAAAAUUUAUUGAAUGAUGUUCAGGCGGCACCUGGUUCUCACCUCUCUGGGUGUGCAACAUUCUUUCAGUCAUGGGUAUUCGAGUAUUUCAAAACAUUGCGGCAAGAGGAAGCAGUCGACGGGUUGAAACUGGUAUACCAAGGGCUGCAAGAUGGGUACACCCAGGCACAUGGGAUAACCCAGAUGGGAAUGUCACAUACUACCAGCAGGAAUUAUAUAUCCUUGAUCCUGAUAGAGUAUAAUUGCAAUGCUUAUUAGUUUAUAUACUCUUGCGCCUGAAAGUUAUUGAUAAUUAUUCAUGCAAAUUUGUUUAUGUAUGUGUUGUUAUCCAUUCCUAUAGGUAUUAUGGAACCCAUAUGCAGAUCAGAAAGACAUUGGUGCUGAGGCGGUUCUAGAUCAGCAGGCAUUUGAGACCGCUCUUUGCAAGACAUAUUUGAUAUUCAACAACAUCGCAGAGCGGUACCUCUCAAACCGGGCACUGAGACAAUUUAGACCUAGACAACCCAUCCUAGCAAAUCCCAGUAGAUGGUAAAGAUUUGAGAGGUGGGGUCAAAAUGAAGAAAACUAGGAGCAAAAACACCUCUCAAAUCAGAGACAAGCAUGACAGGCUUCAGUACUGUCAAAUAGGCGAACAUGACCCUAGUCAUGGUCUACCUUCGAAGGAGUAUGAAACGUGGUACGUGCAGGUCUUUAUCCCCAGAAUUUAUAACCCACAAAACCCUUGGAUGGAUGUGUAUACAUCUCGAGGCUAUGGUGACCACAUGUUGUCCAAAGCAGACUAUUUGAUUGGAAUUGUUGAAAUUGGGCUGGCGGCUCAAGACCCCAAGACAAAGGAUCAAUAUUUUAGGGAGCUAAGAUGAGAGCUGACGUUGUGUAAAGGCGAGUUGGUUGAGGAAGAACAAGAGUCCAAUAAUGACUUUAAACAAGAGCCUGUAUUAACUACUAAGUCACAUCUGCACUACAGAAGAGCUCCAAUAGGAAGAUCCACACGGACUCAAGAGCUCAGGAUUGCUAAGAGAGCGAAUCCCAGUUCACCAGCCUUUUGGAAAGAGGAUAAAAGUACUUGCCCGCAGAAGAGGAAGAGGACAUUGAUUUUAUAUUGUAUAAUUUCGAAGUAAAUUGGAAUACUUUUGAUUUGGUCAAUGUAAAUUGGAAAACUCUUUUGGGUUUCAAUUUUGAUAUAAACUCUUUUGGGUCAUCGAAAUUUGAUAAGGCAUUUGUCA
This is a non-coding RNA of Amborella trichopoda, 2239 nucleotides long. NCBI's taxonomy places the organism in Eukaryota, Viridiplantae, Streptophyta, Magnoliopsida, Amborellales, Amborellaceae. The record is from RefSeq and is a predicted model, not a curated record.